This 67-nucleotide transfer RNA is filed under the name Sceptuchus simplex. RNAcentral's name for it is "tRNA-Tyr". It matches the Rfam family "tRNA". Rfam says of the family: Transfer RNA (tRNA) molecules are approximately 80 nucleotides in length. Their secondary structure includes four short double-helical elements and three loops (D, anti-codon, and T loops). Further hydrogen bonds mediate the characteristic L-shaped molecular structure. tRNAs have two regions of fundamental functional importance: the anti-codon, which is responsible for specific mRNA codon recognition, and the 3' end, to which the tRNAs corresponding amino acid is attached (by aminoacyl-tRNA synthetases). tRNAs cope with the degeneracy of the genetic code in two manners: having more than one tRNA (with a specific anti-codon) for a particular amino acid; and 'wobble' base-pairing, i.e. permitting non-standard base-pairing at the 3rd anti-codon position. Lineage: Eukaryota; Metazoa; Arthropoda; Insecta; Mantodea; Nanomantidae. The record is from RNAcentral.
GGUAAAAUGGCUGAGGUUAGGUGAUAGAUUGUAAAUCUAUUAAGAGGAUGUUAAUUCCUUUUUACCA